RNAcentral lists this long non-coding RNA (245 nucleotides) under Macaca nemestrina (pig-tailed macaque). RNAcentral describes it as "lncRNA (ENSMNEG00000046111.1)". The record is from RNAcentral. Lineage: Eukaryota; Metazoa; Chordata; Mammalia; Primates; Cercopithecidae.
GGAGGAUACUCAGCGGGGUUGUCUGGCCAAGACCCUCUCAGCCAAGGGUGCAGUGACCCAGUCCCCCACUCUCAGGGCUGGAGUCUGACUUCGAGAAUCAGGGGUCAUCCAUUCUGGAACCAGAACAGAAACCUCUGAGCCUGUCCGGGAUGUGAAGUCAACAUAUAUAAAGCCAGAACAUUCUAUCCUUGGCCCAGGUGAUGCUCUUGGAACACAGCAAGCAAACACAAGCACCCAAGUAGGUA